GCUGGCGGCGUGCCUAACACAUGCAAGUCGAACGCGGUUUUCCCGCAAGGGAAAACUGAGUGGCGAACGGGUGAGUAACACGUGGGUGACCUACCUUCGAGUGGGGGAUAACGUCCCGAAAGGGACGCUAAUACCGCAUAACAUUCUGCCUUUGAACAGGUGGAGAUCAAAGCCGGGGAUCGCAAGACCUGGCGCUUGAUGAGGGGCCCGCGUCCGAUUAGCUAGUUGGUGAGGUAAUGGCUCACCAAGGCAACGAUCGGUAGCCGGCCUGAGAGGGCGGACGGCCACACUGGGACUGAGACACGGCCCAGACUCCUACGGGAGGCAGCAGUGGGGAAUUGUUCGCAAUGGGCGCAAGCCUGACGACGCAAUGCCGCGUGGAGGAUGAAGGUCUUCGGAUUGUAAACUCCUGUUGCCAGGGACGAAUGGCCACGACCUAACAC
This 443-nucleotide ribosomal RNA is filed under the name uncultured soil bacterium. Its description in RNAcentral is "bacterial SSU rRNA". It matches the Rfam family "Bacterial small subunit ribosomal RNA", at positions 35 to 464 of the family's 1533-position model. The record is from RNAcentral.